GAAAAUUGAAGUAGCAAACCGUGAGAGAGAAGGGAGAAAGAAGAAGAAGAAGAGAAAAGAGGGAAAUUAGAAGGGAAAUAGAAAGGAGUUGAAGAAAUAAGUAAAAAAAAGGCUUAUAGCUUGAUAGCAGGUUAUUUUGUUGGGCCUUCAGAACCUGCUCUUUGGUUGUACUUUGUAUGUUUCCUUUAUAUUUAGUUAGUGCUCCAAAACUCUGAACUUAUAUAAACUCUUGUAUUAAGACAAUUCAAUUAUAUUAUAAAGUUGAUUUUGUUAUUAA
Populus trichocarpa (black cottonwood) is the source of this 277-nucleotide long non-coding RNA. RefSeq lists it as uncharacterized. The transcript has 2 exons. NCBI's taxonomy places the organism in Eukaryota, Viridiplantae, Streptophyta, Magnoliopsida, Malpighiales, Salicaceae. The record is from RefSeq and is a predicted model, not a curated record.